GUGAGGUAUAUUGCAUGCAGGGUGUAGUGUGUUUUAUAUAGUAACUAUAUUUUCUAUAUAGCUAUAUUGUAUGUAAGGCGUAGUGUGUGUAAGGUAUAUUGUAUGCAGGGUGUAGUGCGUGAGGUAAAGUGUAUGCAGGGCGUAGUGUGUGUAAGGUAUAUUGUAUGCAGGGCGUAGUGUGUGUAAGGUAUAUUUUAUGCAGGGCGUAGUG
Non-coding RNA from Pelobates cultripes (western spadefoot toad), 211 nucleotides. The record is from the annotation of a GenBank genome assembly. Lineage: Eukaryota; Metazoa; Chordata; Amphibia; Anura; Pelobatidae.